Taeniopygia guttata (zebra finch) is the source of this 1519-nucleotide non-coding RNA. The record is from RefSeq and is a predicted model, not a curated record. NCBI's taxonomy places the organism in Eukaryota, Metazoa, Chordata, Aves, Passeriformes, Estrildidae.
AGAGCAUGCAACCAAGGGGUUUUGCAUGGACUUCCUGCUGGGAGCUCCAGUCCAGGGGGCACAACUUUCCACAAGAGAGAAGAAGCAAUUGCUGUAUUCAGGUUAACCUGCUGUCUGUGCUCUCAUGUGCUACCACUAUGUUAAGGGUCCUAAGAAGCUGCUGAUAAUGAGACUGAAAGGUGCUGAGACAGCAGAACACGAGGGGUGUAGAAGUACAACAAUGACAUGUUCUGCAGCUGACUCAGGAACUCCAGAACAAGCUUCACUGACCCAAGAACCUCCAAGGCAAUGUCACUUCACUCAUGUUAGUAUGCAUGGCUGUGCUGCUGGAGCUGCAGAGAAAGCCUCCAGAGCCUGGCAUGUCAGCAUGAUGCCAGCAAUGACAUCAUCUCUCAGUGAACCCUUGAAGAACCUCAUAAGUUUGGAUUGGGCUGAGCAGAUCUGGACAGGUGCUGGUGUGUGGUCAGGCAGAGCUUUCCAGGAGCAAGGCAGAAUAUUGUCCCACCACAGACUCAUGGAACACAGCGUGGCCCUGGAGCCUCGGUGCACCCACUUGGGUGAGCUCAUUCCUCUGCUACAGCUCCCAGGAGCCACUUCUUGCUGCUUCUGCCUUUGGCAGAGUGAAAGGGGUAACUGAACUGGAGGAGGCAAGCAGAACCUCACUGUCCAGGGGCAAAUGCGUCAGGGAAAGAAGCAGGUUGACUUUAAAAGUGUGACGAUGUAUUUAACCAAGUUGACAAAAUAGGAAGAAAGAACAAAGAAACAAACUCAAGGCAAACUGCAUUUGAUCUGGAAAUUAUUAAUAUUUGAGACAAUAAAGGCAGACCCCCUAAAUACUAUUUGCAUAGAAACCCUCCUCAUAGCCAAACCACACUCUAAAGCACUUCAUCUCGAAAGAGCUCUGCCGAAUUGAAACUGAACUACUAGCAUGACUAGAGGGUUUUGGUGCCAAAAGAUGUCAGAUUGAACACAAAACAGAAUUUUCAUUCUUUUGUGUCCUCCAUAAAUAUUAACAACUUGACACCCCAUAAUGAAAGCAAAAAGCACUUAAGCACGGGCAGAAAAACAAAACUAGCCAACCAUUCUUCUUUUAGGAUUACAAUUGGAAAUUAGCUGUAGAGGUCAGAGUUUUCCAGCACCACUGUAGGUUGGGAUUAACUCCAUGGACAUCGUGCACCCAAGAGGAGAAUUUGACCUUGCGUGGUGCAAGAGGAUUGCAGUUCCAUGAAAUAACCACCCCAUCCUUCCAGCCCUUAGCUGGAUGGAAGCAGCUGUAAAAUCCUUGUCUACCAACUGGCCUCAGCCCAUGCUUAUGGCCAACAGGCAGAGGAUGGAAGUGCAGCACCUCACCGGCCUGCUCAGGACCGCUCUUGAAGAGACCCAACACUCCCUGUGGCCAAGAGGCAAGAAGUGACAGGACAAGCACAGCAGCCAGGAUUUGCUGCAACAUAUUGCUUUGAUUCACUUUUCUCAUGUAUCUGAUAAAAGCUGCUGAGUGUCUUUAGGAGGGAAUAAAAUG